Long non-coding RNA from Nyctereutes procyonoides (raccoon dog), 949 nucleotides. RefSeq lists it as uncharacterized. The record is from RefSeq and is a predicted model, not a curated record. The transcript has 3 exons. Lineage: Eukaryota; Metazoa; Chordata; Mammalia; Carnivora; Canidae.
AGGAGGGAGAAGCACGCUCCAUGCCGGGAGCCCGACGUGGGACUUGAUCCCGGGACUCCAGGAUCGUGCCCUGGACCAAAGAGUGAGAGCACAAGCAGGCAGAGCACCAGGUAGAGGGAAAGGGAGAAGCAGGCACUGCGCUGAUCAGAGAGCCGGAUGCAGGGCUCCAUCACAUGACCCUGGGAUCAUGACCUGAGUCGAAGGCAGAUGCUUAACCAACUAAACCACCCAAAUGGCCCCAAAAUUUCCCUUCUAAGACUCACCGGUAAGGCUGACUGCUUUGAGUGAGGACCAGAACAAGAGCAUGCUGCAGAUUAAGUUCAGGCUGUAGUCCAAGCUGCCUCACUGCUAGCACAGAUCCGGCAAUAUCUCCUACUGCAUCGCCUCCUCUCCCUGAAUCCAAGCCUAUUGUCCUCCCAUGGGAACAUGCCGACCAACUGAGGAAGAACAAAUGUGAACCUAGUUUACAGACAGUCUUCACAAUAUGCUGGUACAGCCUGAAGGGGGACAGCUGCAGGGAUGAAUCUGAAGGACAGAGGUCAAAACUGCAAAAGGGACAUUUGAUUGUCCAUUGUCUGGAGUGGUCAAGAGUAUGGAGGUAUACGAAUUUAUGGGCAGGUACUCAUGGUAUGAGUGGAUGGUCAAAACUUGGAAGGAACAAGAUUGAAAGAUUAGUGACAAGGAAUUUUGGGAAGAAGUAUGUGGAUGGACUUCCCAGAAUAUGCACCAACUGUGUUCUAUGUGAAUGCCCACCAAAGGGCAUCCGCUGCCGAGAAGAUUCUUAACAAUCAGGUAGACAUGUGAUACUUCUAGGGUUGUCAGUCAGCCUCUUUCCAAGCUACCCCAACAUUUGUUCAGUGUGUCCAUAAACAAAGUGGCCAGGGCACCUGGCAGGCUCAGUUGGUAGAGCAUGCAACUCUUGAUCUUGGUGGGGGGGCAGUGUUUCAUG